UACGUAGGGUCCGAGCGUUGUCCGGAAUUACUGGGCGUAAAGAGCUCGUAGGUGGUUUGUCGCGUUGUUCGUGAAAACUCACAGCUUAACUGUGGGCGUGCGGGCGAUACGGGCAGACUUGAGUACUGCAGGGGAGACUGGAAGUUCCUGGUGUAGCGGUGGAAUGCGCAGAUAUCAGGAGGAACACCGGUGGCGAAGGCGGGUCUCUGGGCAGUAACUGACGCUGAGGAGCGAAAGCGUGGGGAGCGAACAGG
RNAcentral lists this ribosomal RNA (254 nucleotides) under uncultured bacterium. RNAcentral describes it as "partial 16S ribosomal RNA". It matches the Rfam family "Bacterial small subunit ribosomal RNA", at positions 524 to 776 of the family's 1533-position model. The record is from RNAcentral.